Molecule: ribosomal RNA, 451 nt
Filed under: uncultured organism
Description: partial 16S ribosomal RNA
Rfam family: Bacterial small subunit ribosomal RNA
Source: RNAcentral
GUACACUCCUGCGGGAGGCAGCAGUGGGGAAUAUUGGACAAUGGGCGCAAGCCUGAUCCAGCCAUGCCGCGUGAGUGAUGAAGGCCCUAGGGUUGUAAAGCUCUUUCACCGGUGAAGAUAAUGACGGUAACCGGAGAAGAAGCCCCGGCUAACUUCGUGCCAGCAGCCGCGGUAAUACGAAGGGGGCUAGCGUUGUUCGGAUUUACUGGGCGUAAAGCGCACGUAGGCGGACUAUUAAGUCAGGGGUGAAAUCCCGGGGCUCAACCCCGGAACUGCCUUUGAUACUGGUAGUCUUGAGUUCGAGAGAGGUGAGUGGAAUUCCGAGUGUAGAGGUGAAAUUCGUAGAUAUUCGGAGGAACACCAGUGGCGAAGGCGGCUCACUGGCUCGAUACUGACGCUGAGGUGCGAAAGCGUGGGGAGCAAACAGGAUUAGAUACCCUAGUAGUCCCAU